GACGAACGCUGGCGGCGUGCUUAACACAUGCAAGUCGAGCGGAAAGGCCCACUUGUGGGUACUCGAGCGGCGAACGGGUGAGUAUCACGUGAGUAAUCUGCCCUUCACUUCGGGAUAGCCUUGGGAAACUGAGAUUAAUACCGGAUAUGAUUUCUGCCUGCAUGGGUGGGGUUGAAAGUUUUUCGGUUGGAGGAUGUGCUCGCGGCCUAUCAGCUUGAUGGUGGGGUAAGUGGCCUACCAUGGCUUUGACGGGUAGCCGGCCUGAGAGGGUGUCCGGCCACACUGGGACUGAGAUACGGCCCAGACUCCUACGGGAGGCAGCAGUGGGGAAGUAUUGCACAAUGGGCGCAAGCCUGAUGCAGCGACGCCGCGUGGGGGAUGACGGCCUCGGUU
RNAcentral lists this ribosomal RNA (393 nucleotides) under uncultured bacterium. RNAcentral's name for it is "bacterial SSU rRNA". It matches the Rfam family "Bacterial small subunit ribosomal RNA", at positions 28 to 424 of the family's 1533-position model. The record is from RNAcentral.